RNAcentral lists this transfer RNA (75 nucleotides) under Paenibacillus sp. FSL H7-0326. RNAcentral describes it as "tRNA-Glu". It matches the Rfam family "tRNA". Rfam says of the family: Transfer RNA (tRNA) molecules are approximately 80 nucleotides in length. Their secondary structure includes four short double-helical elements and three loops (D, anti-codon, and T loops). RNAcentral also lists the same sequence under 1 other name. The record is from RNAcentral. Lineage: Bacteria; Bacillati; Bacillota; Bacilli; Caryophanales; Paenibacillaceae.
GGCGUGUUGGUCAAGCGGCUAAGACAUCCGACUUUCUAUCGGAGAUCACGGGUUCGAUUCCCGUACACGCUACCA